Molecule: ribosomal RNA, 429 nt
Filed under: bacterium
Lineage: Bacteria
Description: partial 16S ribosomal RNA
Rfam family: Bacterial small subunit ribosomal RNA
Source: RNAcentral
UGGGGAAUCUUCCGCAAUGGACGAAAGUCUGACGGAGCAACGCCGCGUGAGUGAUGACGGCCUUCGGGUUGUAAAGCUCUGUUAAUCGGGACGAAUGGUUCUUGUGCAAAUAGUGCGAGGAUUUGACGGUAACGGAAUAGAAAGCCACGGCUAACUACGUGCCAGCAGCCGCGGUAAUACGUAGGUGGCAAGCGUUGUCCGGAAUUAUUGGGCGUAAAGCGCGCGCAGGCGGAUUGGUCAGUCUGUCUUAAAAGUUCGGGGCUUAACCCCGUGAUGGGAUGGAAACUGCCAAUCUAGAGUAUCGGAGAGGAAAGUGGAAUUCCUAGUGUAGCGGUGAAAUGCGUAGAUAUUAGGAAGAACACCAGUGGCGAAGGCGACUUUCUGGACGAAAACUGACGCUGAGGCGCGAAAGCAAGGGGAGCGAACGGG